RNAcentral lists this ribosomal RNA (253 nucleotides) under uncultured bacterium. RNAcentral describes it as "partial 16S ribosomal RNA". It matches the Rfam family "Bacterial small subunit ribosomal RNA", at positions 524 to 776 of the family's 1533-position model. The record is from RNAcentral.
UACAGAGGUCCCAAGCGUUGUUCGGAUUCACUGGGCGUAAAGGGUGCGUAGGUGGUGGGGUAAGUCGGAUGUGAAAGCUCGGAGCUCAACUCCGAAAUGGCAUUGGAAACUACCCUGCUAGAGGAUUGGAGGGGGGACUGGAAUACUUGGUGUAGCAGUGAAAUGCGUAGAUAUCAAGUGGAACACCAGUGGCGAAGGCGAGUCCCUGGACAAUUCCUGACACUGAGACACGAAGGCCAGGGGAGCAAACGGG